RNAcentral lists this ribosomal RNA (636 nucleotides) under uncultured bacterium. Its description in RNAcentral is "partial 16S ribosomal RNA". The stretch from base 1 to 543 matches the Rfam family "Bacterial small subunit ribosomal RNA", at positions 338 to 873 of the family's 1533-position model. The record is from RNAcentral.
CCUACGGGAGGCAGCAGUGGGGGAAUUUUGGACAAUGGGCGCAAGCCUGAUCCAGCAAUGCCGCGUGAGUGAAGAAGGCCUUCGGGUUGUAAAGCUCUUUUGUCAGGGAAGAAACGGGACCGGCUAAUAUCUGGUUCUAAUGACGGUACCUGAAGAAUAAGCACCGGCUAACUACGUGCCAGCAGCCGCGGUAAUACGUAGGGUGCAAGCGUUAAUCGGAAUUACUGGGCGUAAAGCGUGCGCAGGCGGUUUUGUAAGUCUGUCGUGAAAGCCCCGGGCUUAACCUGGGAAUUGCGAUGGAGACUGCAAGGCUUGAAUCUGGCAGAGGGGGGUAGAAUUCCACGUGUAGCAGUGAAAUGCGUAGAGAUGUGGAGGAACACCGAUGGCGAAGGCAGCCCCCUGGGUCAAGAUUGACGCUCAUGCACGAAAGCGUGGGGAGCAAACAGGAUUAGAUACCCUGGUAGUCCACGCCCUAAACGAUGUCUACUAGUUGUCGGGUCUUAAUUGACUUGGUAACGCGAGCUACGUCGUGAGUAGACCGCCGNGGGAGGUACGGUCGGUCGAGUAGUUAAACGUUAAAGUAAAGUUAGUUACGGUACGUUGAGACGUGCCGACGGACGACGACGAGGGAGGAGG